Molecule: unclassified non-coding RNA, 254 nt
Filed under: uncultured Patescibacteria group bacterium
Lineage: Bacteria
Description: contains 16S-23S intergenic spacer region
Rfam family: Bacterial small subunit ribosomal RNA
Source: RNAcentral
UACGGAGGAUCCAAGCGUUAUCCGGAAUUACUGGGCGUAAAGAGUUGUGUAGGCGGUUUGUUAAGCAAAUAGUGAAAGCGUGGGGCUCAACCUCAUAUCCAUUAUUUGAACUGGCAGACUAGAGUGUGGAAGAGGUAACUGGAAUUCCUUGUGUAGGAGUGAAAUCCGUAGAUAUAAGGAGGAACACCGAUGGCGUAGGCAGGUUACUGGUCCAUUACUGACGCUCAGACACGAAAGCAUGGGGAGCGACCGGG